Molecule: ribosomal RNA, 341 nt
Filed under: uncultured bacterium
Lineage: Bacteria
Description: bacterial SSU rRNA
Rfam family: Bacterial small subunit ribosomal RNA
Source: RNAcentral
UAUUCUGUGAGCAAGGAAAGCGAGGGGAUCGCAAGACCUUGCGCUGAUUGAGCGGCCGAUAUCAGAUUAGCUAGUUGGUGAGGUAAAGGCUCACCGAGGCGACGAUCUGUAGCGGGUCUGAGAGGAUGAUCCGCCACACUGGAACUGAGACACGGUCCAGACUCCUACGGGGAGGCAGCAGUGGGGAAUUUUGGACAAUGGGCGCAAGCCUGAUCCAGCCAUGCCGCGUGAGUGAAGAAGGCCUUCGGGUUGUAAAGCUCUUUCAGCCGGGAAGAAAACGCAUGGGUUAAUACCCUGUGUGGAUGACGGUACCGGAAUAAGAAGCACCGGCUAACUACGUG